ACGGGUGAGUAACACGUAGCUUACUACCCUCAGGAGUGGGCAACGGGUGGGACAGUCGCUAAUACCGCAUAAGCUCACGAUGAAUAGACAGUUGUGAGAAAAGACUCCGGUGCCUGAGGAUGAGGCUGCGUUCCAUCAGCUAGUUGGUGAGGUAAAGGCUCACCAAGGCGACGACGGAUAGGGGACCUGAGAGGGUGACCCCCCAGACUGGAACUGAGACACGGUCCAGACUUCUACGGAAGGCAGCAGUGAGGAAUAUUGCACAAUGAGCGCAAGCUUGAUGCAGCGACGCCGCGUGGGUGAUGAAGGUUUCCGGAUCGUAAAGCCCUUUUCUGCGUGACGAGGAAGGACGGUAGCGCAGGAAUAAGUCUCGGCUAACUACGUGCCAGCAGCCGGGGUAAAACGUAGGAGGCAAGCGUUAUCCGGAGUUACUGGGCGUAAAGCGCGUGCAGGCGGAUGGUUAAGUCAGAUAUGAAAGCUCGCGGCUAAACUGGGAGAGGCUGUCUGA
This 508-nucleotide ribosomal RNA is filed under the name uncultured organism. Its description in RNAcentral is "bacterial SSU rRNA". It matches the Rfam family "Bacterial small subunit ribosomal RNA", at positions 102 to 630 of the family's 1533-position model. The record is from RNAcentral.